AACACAUGAACAGUGCAGCAUUUGACUUGUUUUCUGCUCCAACCAGCCCUCCCCAACAUCCUAAUCCCACUAAUCCCGCCUCCGCCACUGCAGGCAUGCCGGCCUUUUCUUAAUUGCUAUACUUUUGAGGACGCAUCACUAAAAAAACUAAAAGAGGUUUCAUGGCAAUGAUGGAGUGCUACCAAAUUAUGUUCCAAGAAAAAUGAUUUCUGCCUCAACUUGACUACAUGCAUGUUGAAUUGUCGACCCGAUUUGGCGGACUAUAUAAGUGCUCUUCUCCUUGGGAAUUUGAAAGCACAGCCCUUCUAAGCAUCACACAAUAUAUAGGCUUAUAUAUGUGGUGGCAGUCAUUGGUACAAGCAUGUGUGCAUUAGACCAGAAAAGGGUCACUUGGUUGUUUGAUGCGUUCGUGCUCGUCCGCGGGAUGGUGCAAGGCGCAACUCCAAUGCGGUUCCUCACCGGUUGGACGGUGUUCAGGCGCAACCCCGGUGCUCACUGAGUACUGCCUCGGCUACAACCUCCCACGGUGAGGUAAAAAACGACUACGAUCGGAUUCCCUGGCUCCUCAGCGAUUUGGGCCUCCUGGUCGUUAGAUUCGUUUGCUUGAUGUGAUUCCGGCCAUCGGAUUGAGCAGUGGGAUGACCUGCGCCGUCGGAUCAAUUCGUUGCUCCUGUCGCAAUGAAAGUCACUGUUUCCCUGGGUUUCGCUUACUCCGCCGUUUUGAGCGUAUUUCGCUGGCGUGUGGGGUUUCCAGCGUGUGGGCCGCCUUGUUCAGUGACUGUGGCUAUGUGUUUUGGUUGUGUGGCCCGUGGGGCGCGUGGGCUGGCAAAUAUCUUGUGCCACCGUAAGAAAUAACGUGCCCCCGUAGAGGGUAUUUUGGUCUUUUCACGUUUUGGCCUUGUGCGUGGUGGACAGUGGUUGGCACGUGCGUGGAUGAGGUGGGGGAGGGCACUGGCUUGCCCCUUCGUGCUCCCAUUCGCCCUUUCUCUCUGAAUCCCCUCUUCUCUCCCACAACCCUCUCUCUCGUGCUGGGGCGAUGAUGAUUAGCCGUGGUUGAAAAAAAAUGUGCCUUUGAGCAAUCGAGGCACCUGGGGAUAUCAAGUUGAAUCCUCCCUCUUGUCUCUAGAAUCAUUUUUGAUCAUGUGAUACUUGUUGCUCUG
This is a long non-coding RNA of Triticum dicoccoides, 1160 nucleotides long. RefSeq lists it as uncharacterized. NCBI's taxonomy places the organism in Eukaryota, Viridiplantae, Streptophyta, Magnoliopsida, Poales, Poaceae. The transcript is spliced from 4 exons. The record is from RefSeq and is a predicted model, not a curated record.